RNAcentral lists this long non-coding RNA (648 nucleotides) under Homo sapiens (human). RNAcentral describes it as "long intergenic non-protein coding RNA 2264". Lineage: Eukaryota; Metazoa; Chordata; Mammalia; Primates; Hominidae. The record is from RNAcentral.
GAGAAUGGGAAUUAACCGCCAUCACCUAUGCCUCCAUUUUUUCCUGCUGUGGACAACCUUUGAGUUCCCUGGGCCUGUUUAUGCCAUGGAGUUUUUCUUUCUAGGGCCACAGCCUGAAGCUUGGAAUCGAGUUUGGGACUGAAAAGCUUACUCAUUGGAAUUCUAAGGACAGCUCCAGUUAACAUGAAAGUAAAAAUAAAAACCCAGAAAACCUUUUGGACAGAUUACAACAAAGAAGAAUUCUGAUACCUCUUGUAGAUUCAUUUUCCACCCCAAAGAUUAGGUAACAAAGGAGAUGUGGGAGAGAAAGAAACAAAAUGGGAGAGAAAUUGAGAUAAGAGAGGACCAUGUGAAGGAGGUGAAGUAUUUAAAGUGGAAAGGAGGAAAAUAACCUGAACUCUUAACUGCUCUUGAAAGUUCACUCUGUCUUCACUCCAGCUCUAUUGACUGAUUACCUGUAGCCCACUUGCUAUUCAACAGUCUUUAUCAAAGACAGAUCACUUGGAUACUUUUGUAUGAGUGGUGUCACAAAAAGACAUCUUGAGCCACCAAAUAAGGUGCAAUAUACAAACCAGAAGUCCCAUUCAGCCCAGUAUUUGUUCUCAAAUGUCAUAAAUGCUGUGGACAAGAAACUUUGCACAACCAGAA